UCGACGUCGCGCUAUACCUAUCGAACAGUCGGCGGGAAAUGUGCGUGACUUCAGAAUAUAGGUCUUGCACUUUUUAUGACUUCGUGAUAAAUUUCAAUAAAACUUUACUCGAAUACUCGGCGUUUGAACUCGCGAUUCGACUCGAUUUCAAAAACCAAAACUGUACAAUGUAAUAUACGAGAGUGAUUAAUUUUUAUUGUUGUUUUUUUAUCCAUACCGACGUUCGACGGACGCAUACUUCGCACCGCGACCGCCGUGUAUAUACGUCGCGCCUGUACAAUAAAUAUAAUUACCGCGGAAUAAAACGAAUCCGACGGAAUAAUGGAAACGACGCGGUGAAAAUCGGCUGAUAA
This is a non-coding RNA of Cinara cedri, 353 nucleotides long. The record is from the annotation of a GenBank genome assembly. Lineage: Eukaryota; Metazoa; Arthropoda; Insecta; Hemiptera; Aphididae.